Molecule: ribosomal RNA, 460 nt
Filed under: uncultured bacterium
Lineage: Bacteria
Description: partial 16S ribosomal RNA
Rfam family: Bacterial small subunit ribosomal RNA
Source: RNAcentral
CCUACGGGAGGCAGCAGUGAGGAAUAUUGGUCAAUGGACGAGAGUCUGAACCAGCCAAGUAGCGUGAAGGAUGACUGCCCUAUGGGUUGUAAACUUCUUUUAUAUGGGAAUAAAAUGUUCCACGUGUGGGUUUUUGUAUGUACCGCAUGAAUAAGGAUCGGCUAAUUCCGUGCCAGCAGCCGCGGUAAUACGGAGGAUCCGAGCGUUAUCCGGGUUUAUUGGGUUUAAAGGGAGCGUAGGUGGCUUGUUAAGUGAGUUGUGAAAGUUUGCGGCUCAACCGUAAAAUUGCAGUUGAAACUGGCAGUCUUGAGUACAGUAGAGGUGGGCGGAAUUCGUGGUGUAGCGGUGAAAUGCUUAGAUAUCACGAAGAACUCCGAUUGCGAAGGCAGCUCACUGGACUGCAACUGACACUGAGGCUCGAAAGUGUGGGUAUCAAACAGGAUUAGAUACCCUGGUAGUC